RNAcentral lists this microRNA precursor (118 nucleotides) under Canis lupus dingo (dingo). RNAcentral describes it as "miRNA (ENSCAFG00020024290.1)". Lineage: Eukaryota; Metazoa; Chordata; Mammalia; Carnivora; Canidae. The record is from RNAcentral.
AGGUGAUCAAUAAUUCCUUCCCGAGACUUUGCUUUAAUUGCUAGGAUCAGGGGGCAGUUAGGAUGAGUUAGAGGUUGGGGAGGAGAUUACAGUGUGUGGGAGAUGGGGGUGGAUGGAG